UACGUAGGGGGCAAGCGUUGUCCGGAAUCAUUGGGCGUAAAGAGCGCGUAGGCGGCCCUGUAAGUCCGCUGUGAAAGUCCAGGGCUCAACCCUGGGAUGCCGGUGGAUACUGUCGGGCUCGAGUCCGGAAGAGGAGUGUGGAAUUCCUGGUGUAGCGGUGAAAUGCGCAGAUAUCAGGAGGAACACCAAUGGCGAAGGCAGCACUCUGGGACGUGACUGACGCUGAGACGCGAAAGCGUGGGGAGCAAACAGG
Molecule: ribosomal RNA, 253 nt
Filed under: uncultured bacterium
Lineage: Bacteria
Description: partial 16S ribosomal RNA
Rfam family: Bacterial small subunit ribosomal RNA
Source: RNAcentral